Molecule: ribosomal RNA, 460 nt
Filed under: uncultured bacterium
Lineage: Bacteria
Description: partial 16S ribosomal RNA
Rfam family: Bacterial small subunit ribosomal RNA
Source: RNAcentral
CCUACGGGAGACUGCAGUGAGGAAUAUUGGUCAAUGGACGGAAGUCUGAACCAGCCAUGCCGCGUGCAGGAAGACGGCUCUAUGAGUUGUAAACCGCUUUUGUACAAGGGUAAACCUGAAUACGUGUAUUCAGCUGAAAGUACUGUACGAAUAAGGAUCGGCUAACUCCGUGCCACCAGCCGCGGUAAUACGGAGGAUCCAAGCGUUAUCCGGAUUUAUUGGGUUUAAAGGGUGCGUAGGCGGAUUGAUAAGUUAGAGGUGAAAUGUCCGAGCGUAACUCGGGAACUGCCUUUAAUACUGUUGAUCUAGAGAGUAGGUGAGGUAGGCGGAAUGUAUGGUGUAGCGGUGAAAUGCUUAGAGAUCAUACAGAACACCGAUUGCGAAGGCAGCUUACCAAUCUAUAUCUGACGUUGAGGCACGAAAGCGUGGGUAGCAAACAGGAUUAGAUACCCGGGUAGUC